RNAcentral lists this ribosomal RNA (415 nucleotides) under Escherichia coli. RNAcentral describes it as "bacterial SSU rRNA". It matches the Rfam family "Bacterial small subunit ribosomal RNA", at positions 373 to 780 of the family's 1533-position model. The record is from RNAcentral. Lineage: Bacteria; Pseudomonadati; Pseudomonadota; Gammaproteobacteria; Enterobacterales; Enterobacteriaceae.
GGACGAAAGUCUGACGGAGCAACGCCGCGUGUAUGAAGAAGGUUUUCGGAUCGUAAAGUACUGUUGUUAGAGAAGAACAAGGAUAAGAGUAACUGCUUGUCCCUUGACGGUAUCUAACCAGAAAGCCACGGCUAACUACGUGCCAGCAGCCGCGGUAAUACGUAGGUGGCAAGCGUUGUCCGGAUUUAUUGGGCGUAAAGCGCGCGCAGGCGGUCUUUUAAGUCUGAUGUGAAAGCCCCCGGCUUAACCGGGGAGGGUCAUUGGAAACUGGAAGACUGGAGUGCAGAAGAGGAGAGUGGAAUUCCACGUGUAGCGGUGAAAUGCGUAGAUAUGUGGAGGAACACCAGUGGCGAAGGCGACUCUCUGGUCUGUAACUGACGCUGAGGCGCGAAAGCGUGGGGAGCAAACAGGAUUA